UUGGAAACACUCUGUUUGUAAAUUCUGCACGUGGAUAUUUUGACCACUUAGAGGCCUUCGUUGGAAACGGGUUUUUUUCAUGUAAGGCUAGACAGAAGAAUUCCCAGUAACUUCCUUGUGUUGUGUACAUUCAACUCACAGAGUUGAACGUUCCCUUAGACAGAGCAGAUUUGAAACACUCUUUUUGUGCAAUUGGCAAGUGGAGAUUUCAAGCGCUUUAAGGUCAAUGGCAGAAAAGGAAAUAUCUUCGUUUCAAAACUAGACAGAAUCAUUCCCACAAACUGCGUUGUGAUGUGUUCGUUCAACUCACAGAGUUUAACCUUUCUUUUCAUAGAGCAGUUAGGAAACACUCUGUUUGUAAAUUCUGUAAGUGGAUAUUCUGACAUCUUGUGGCCUUCGUUGGAAACGGGAUUUCUUCAUAUUCUGCUAGACAGAAGAAUUCUCAGUAACUUCCUUGUGUUGUGUGUAUUCAACUCACAGAGUUGAACGAUCCUUUACACAAAGCAGACUUGAAACACUCUUUUUGUGGAAUUUGCAAUUGGAGAUUUCAGCCGCUUUGAAGUCAAUAGUAGAAAAGGAAAUAUCUUCGUAUAAAAACUAGACAGAAUGAUUCUCAGAAACUCCUUUGUGAUGUGUGCGUUCAACUCACAGAGUUUAGCCUUUCUUUUCAUAGAGCAGGUAGGAAACACUCUGUUUGUAAAGUCUGCACGUGGAUAUUUUGACCUCUUUGAGGCCUUCAAUGGAAACGGGAUUUUUUCAUGUAAGGCUAGACAGAAGAAUUCUCAGUAACUUCCUUGUGUUGUGUGUAUUCAACUGACAGAGUUGAACUUUCAUUUAGACAGAG
This 844-nucleotide long non-coding RNA is filed under the name Homo sapiens (human). Its description in RNAcentral is "HSALNT0326456". The record is from RNAcentral. Lineage: Eukaryota; Metazoa; Chordata; Mammalia; Primates; Hominidae.